AUUGAACGCUGGCGGCAGGCCUAACACAUGCCAGUCGAGCGGAUGAAGGGAGCUUGCUCCUGGAUUCAGCGGCGGACGGGUGAGUAAUGCCUAGGAAUCUGCCUGGUAGUGGGGGAUAACGUCCGGAAACGGGCGCUAAUACCGCAUACGUCCUGAGGGAGAAAGUGGGGGAUCUUCGGACCUCACGCUAUCAGAUGAGCCUAGGUCGGAUUAGCUAGUUGGUGAGGUAAAGGCCUACCAAGGCGACGAUCCGUAACUGGUCUGAGAGGAUGAUCAGUCACACUGGAACUGAGACACGGUCCAGACUCCUACGGGAGGCAGCAGUGGGGAAUAUUGGACAAUGGGCGAAAGCCUGAUCCAGCCAUGCCGCGUGUGUGAAGAAGGUCUUCGGAUUGUAAAGCACUUUAAGUUGGGAGGAAGGGCAGUAAGUUAAUACCUUGCUGUUUUGACGUUACCAACAGAAUAAGCACCGGCUAACUUCGUG
RNAcentral lists this ribosomal RNA (484 nucleotides) under uncultured bacterium. Its description in RNAcentral is "partial 16S ribosomal RNA". It matches the Rfam family "Bacterial small subunit ribosomal RNA", at positions 30 to 507 of the family's 1533-position model. The record is from RNAcentral.